Molecule: ribosomal RNA, 767 nt
Filed under: uncultured Granulicatella sp.
Lineage: Bacteria; Bacillati; Bacillota; Bacilli; Lactobacillales; Carnobacteriaceae
Description: bacterial SSU rRNA
Rfam family: Bacterial small subunit ribosomal RNA
Source: RNAcentral
GACGAACGCUGGCGGCGUGCCUAAUACAUGCAAGUCGAACGAGAGCGACCGGUGCUUGCACUGGUCAAUCUAGUGGCGAACGGGUGAGUAACACGUGGGUAACCUGCCCAUCAGAGGGGGAUAACAUUCGGAAACGGAUGCUAAAACCGCAUAGAUCUUCGAACCGCAUGGUUUGAAGAGGAAAAGAGGCGCAAGCUUCUGCUGAUGGAUGGACCCGCGGUGCAUUAGCUAGUUGGUGAGGUAACGGCUCACCAAGGCCGUGAUGCAUAGCCGACCUGAGAGGGUGAUCGGCCACAUUGGGACUGAGACACGGCCCAAACUCCUACGGGAGGCAGCAGUAGGGAAUCUUCCGCAAUGGACGCAAGUCUGACGGAGCAACGCCGCGUGAGUGAAGAAGGUUUUCGGAUCGUAAAACUCUGUUGUUAGGGAAGAACAAGUGCUAGAGUAACUGUUAGCGCCUUGACGGUAUCUAACCAGAAAGCCACGGCUAACUACGUGCCAGCAGCCGCGGUAAUACGUAGGUGGCAAGCGUUGUCCGGAUUUAUUGGGCGUAAAGCGAGCGCAGGCGGUUCCUUAAGUCUGAUGUGAAAGCCCCCGGCUCAACCGGGGAGGGUCAUUGGAAACUGGGGAACUUGAGUGCAGAAGAGGAGAGUGGAAUUCCAUGUGUAGCGGUGAAAUGCGUAGAUAUAUGGAGGAACACCAGUGGCGAAGGCGACUCUCUGGUCUGUAACUGACGCUGAGGCUCGAAAGCGUGGGUAGCAAACAGG